ACAAAAUUAUUUAAGUUUUUUAUUUCUGUAGGUUAUUGGGGAACAGGUGGUUGUUGGUUACAUGAAUAAGUUUUUUUGUUUUUUGAGACGGUGUCUUGCUCUCUCGCCAGGCUGGAGUGCAGUGGUGUGAUCUCAGCUCACUGCGACCUCUGCCUCCUGGGUUCAAGCGAUUCCCCUGCUUCAGCCUCCCAAGUAGCUGGGAUUACAGGCACACCACCACACCCGGCUAAUUUUUUGUAUUUUAGUAGAGACAGGGUUUCACAAUGUUGGCCAAGAUGGUCUUGGUCUCCUGACCUCGUGAUCCACCCACCUCAGCCUCCGAAAGUGCUGGGAUUACAGGCGUAAGCCACCGCGCCCAGCCGUUUACAUGAUUAAGUUCUUUAGUGGUGAUUUGUGAGAUUUUGGUGCACCUAGCUUUUUCUAGGAAGUUCUAACCCUACAGGAGGUUGUGCAGUAGAAAACGGGUGUCAUCUCAGCUCAGCUUCAUUAGCCUUCUACCCUGUAUAGGGUCUGGCCUCUCCCCAUGCAGCCCCAGGGCCCUUGGCCUGCACCCCCAGCCUCUGGCAGCUGCUGGGACCCCCUAACCCCCCUGGGCCCCCUUGUGGGCAUUCGGGAGGCAUUCAGACAUGCAGCAGCACGUCCAGACCCAGCUUUCUAUAGACGCUGACCUGGUGGCGCCUGGCCUGGCUUCCUGGGAGCCGCGCAGCUGGGCUCUUCUGCUUGGGUUUCAGUGUUCGUGGCAGCCCCGCCUGUCUGGGCACGGCCGCGCUGUGCUUGGCUGGGGCUGCCACGGAUUCCAGUACCACUUAGGGCCCAGCAAAGGGGCUGCAGCUCUGGGUGCCGAUUCCAGGGUCCCAGGUGAUUGGCUGGAGGGGACUCGGGUCCGUCUAGACUCUAUCCAGUCCCCUGUGGUCUGGGUGUGGGCCUCUUGACCCUCUGUCCGCCAGCGGGGACUGGAGAAGGCAGGUCUCGAGCAGGGUGCCUGUGCUGGUUACCCCUGCCCGGUGUGUCGCCAGGAGCUAUGCACCAAGCUCCCUGUGGGCCCAGCAUGGCACAGGGAACAACAACAGCGAGCCCCAUUGCCCGCCUCGGGAAGCUGCCAUCGCUGGAUGGUCAGGGAGGGCUUCCUGGCGGAAGGGAUGUUCUCACUGAGCAUGGAGGAUGCGAGGAAUUCAGGAGGCGAACGGGACAGAGAAGGAUGGGUGGCUGGCAGGAAGCACAGCACGUGCAAAGGCCCAGAGGUGGCAGGGUUUGGGCAUGGGCAGCAAUGGGGGCAGGGUUGUGAGGUGAGGCCAGACCCAGCGGGGUGGGUGGCAGUGGCCUGAGAGCAGCCCUGAGGCCGCCGGUAUGCCACGCGAUGUGGGGCAGAGCACGCGGAGUCAGGCUGGGCUCUGGCCUCCCAGCACCCCACUCCCGCCCUCAGCAGCCUCCCCGUCUAUUGAGGAGGGACUUGAGCCUUGGGCCCCCGGGCCAGUGGUAGAUGCCAGACAGACUCCAUGUAGAAUGGGGGUCGGCAGUGGGGAGCCGUUUGUUCUAGGGCGGCCCCAGGACAUCCCCAGGGGCCAGCAGCGUGGCUUUCUUUGCCAGGGCAGAGCUCCUCAUUGGGCUUCACAGAGGGAAACCAAGGCCCAGAGAGGGCAGGCCAGUUGCGCACAGUCACACAGCCCGGGCUGGCAGAGCAGAUCUGAAUUCCAGAAAGCCUGGCUACCGAGCACACCCCCCACCCCCUCAUGGGUUGCCCAAGGCCAGGGCAGAGUUGGGCCACGUUGGUGGGCCGGGCCCACAACUAGGGUUCCCAGACCCACAUAUGAGACUCACCCAGGGAGGAGCAUUCUCAGGGCCAGUCCUGGCCUCCCCCACGCUGGGGGCCUGGGCCUCCAGGGCAAGGCCUCAGCAACUGCAUUUUAACAUGGCUCCCAACCUCUGCCCACCCCCUCCCCUCCGCUGUGGCCAGGGUGGCAACAACCUGAGACCUGGGAGGAGGCGGGACCCCCGUGAGGGGAGGGGACUGGACUGGAUGGGACCCCUGUGGGGGAAGAGGAGGGGACGGGGACCCCCCCAUGGCAGGGGAGGAGGCCCUGAUGGGGUGGAGGAGCACCUAGGAAAUGUGGAACCGCCCCCCCAUACCCCCGCCCCGUUGCAGGUGAGCGCCGUGAGGGGGUCAACGCCUCCGUCAGCUCCGACGUGCAGUCGGUGUUCAAGGGGAAGACAUACAACCAGCUGCAGGUCAUCUUCCAGGGCAUCGAGGGCAAAAUCCGCGCUGGGGGCCCCAACCUGGACAUGGGCUACUGGGAGAGCCUCCUGCAGCAGCUGCGCGCCCACA
RNAcentral lists this small RNA (2323 nucleotides) under Pongo abelii (Sumatran orangutan). RNAcentral describes it as "retained intron". Lineage: Eukaryota; Metazoa; Chordata; Mammalia; Primates; Hominidae. The record is from RNAcentral.